UCGGAUGAUGCCAUACCCAACGCUGCCACCUUAGCAAGCCAACAAUAAAGAAGCUAUGCUAAAGCACACACGAUGGAUUGACAGUCAUUCGCACAGAUAAAUCUUAGCAAUGAGGCCUAAUGGCACUCAACCAAUAAUAUACACUGCAUCCACAAGCACUCAAGGCAUCGAUGGUCUUUCCUUGGGGAGAUGGGGGCAAAAGCCAGACAAUCAUCCAAGAGGCCAUAGGCGCCACUAUGCACCCACUCCUAUACCGCACAUAACGGAGGGAGGGGAGAGAGAGUAUAGCACCGAGUCAUAUUUCAUUGAUUAAAGACUAUGUACAUAAUACAGGCAAAACUCAUGGUACCAAUAGCAUCAAUGGACCAUAUAAUGAAGGGUUGCACUAAUUUCGGUUGGGUACACAAGGCACAGAGCCCGCCAUUACAUGCAACAACUAAACCACUUAUAUGCCGACACGGUCAUUCUAUGUACAUUGCCUUAUCGCCCGCAUGCGUUCAUAUC
RNAcentral lists this unclassified non-coding RNA (504 nucleotides) under Costus letestui. Its description in RNAcentral is "Costus le-testui partial external transcribed spacer". The record is from RNAcentral. Lineage: Eukaryota; Viridiplantae; Streptophyta; Magnoliopsida; Zingiberales; Costaceae.